GAAACUUCCAUGCUGGCAAAGGGCAGAGGCAAAGAAUCACAGCCAAGAAAACCAGGUGGAAUAAGGAGGUGGCAAACAACAAUCGACUAUUCAAGAAAUCAAGGAUUUUGGAUUCGUCCAUCAUUAACUACAGUUGCCUUCCUUGGCCAUCCAGUAUGGUGUUUAUUUCCUCUGGUGGUUCCUUUUGUUUCCCGUGCUAUCCUUCUCAAUGCUAAUUCUGUUAUCUCAGCUUAUAGAUGUGUUCUGUUGUUGUAGUUAGUUCUCUGGUCUUCAGGAUGGUGUAUACCCUGACUUACAAAUGCAAUCUCCUGAGAUGAGACGAGACACUCAAUGCUCUUCUCUAUCUGAACAAUUAAUGCUGAAGGUCACAGCUACCACCUGUGAUUCAUUAUCAUAUAUUUUUACACAGCUGAAAAUGGGGAGUCACAACACAAAAACAGCUGUUUCUGUGGUGAAACAUCUGCCUAUGUGUGUACCAUGAAAUAAAAGCUGAUUAUAUUUUC
Molecule: long non-coding RNA, 503 nt
Organism: Conger conger (European conger)
Lineage: Eukaryota; Metazoa; Chordata; Actinopteri; Anguilliformes; Congridae
Exons: 2
Source: RefSeq, a predicted model, not a curated record